Molecule: long non-coding RNA, 934 nt
Organism: Meriones unguiculatus (Mongolian gerbil)
Lineage: Eukaryota; Metazoa; Chordata; Mammalia; Rodentia; Muridae
Exons: 5
Source: RefSeq, a predicted model, not a curated record
GGUGUGUGAGGAGCAGCCAUUUCCUCUGUUGCUGCAGAGAGCCGGGCCUGGUGGAUAAACUCAUUAAAUAGGAAAGGCAAUGGAAGCGGAUUACUCAGAGAUCUGAAGAUUAAUGUGGGAAGCAGCAGGGCGAAGCGUCAAGCCUGCUGAUUUCAUCAUCGACUCCCAAAGUUGUUCUUGCUGGACAGCGACAACUCCAAGGGGACCCCAUGGCCCAAGGGAAACCAGCCAAAGGGCACAGCUUUCCGUGUGGUUGACCUGGGAUGGUUUAACUGCAUUUUCAAGUUGGGACGUUUUCCAUCCGUGCUAUGGGACUCCAGGUCAGCCGCCCUCUACAAGAGACCUCGACUGGCUGAGCGAUGACACGUAAGAAGGAAACCCAUGGAAAAUACAGAGCACGAAACUCGAGUGUCUGAGACGAAAGCAGGCCAGACUCAGAAGAACAGUGGCCAAAGGUUGCCGACCCGGAGACAUAAUGAGUGAGGAGGUAUGCUGGCUACGGUCCACAGUUCCUCACAGACAGUCCUUACACUGACUGGGUGUGUUCAGGCUGUUAAAGCAAAGUACCUCACACAGGGAUACUUUUAAACACCAGAAAUUGAUUGCUCGUCAUUCUGGAGUAGGAAGACCCCGUUCUGAAGCUACAAUGUCUGUCUGUCUGUCUGGCCAGGACUAUUUGUCCAUCUCACACAUGUCACCUUCUGUGUCCUCACGUGAUGGGAAAACAGAGGAAAAGAGAAGUUUCUGUCACCUUCCUCAAGAGCACUAAUUUCAUUGAUGAAGGCUCCAGCUUCAUGACUCACUCAUCUCCAGGCCUAACCUCUUAAGAGUGCUACACUGAAAGUUAGGUUUGGGGGCUGAAGAGAUGGCUCAGUGGUUAGGAGCACUGAAUGGUCUUCCUAGAGAAGCCGGAUUCAAAUCCCAGCACCCACAU